This 554-nucleotide ribosomal RNA is filed under the name Phomopsis sp. n88. RNAcentral describes it as "eukaryotic LSU rRNA". The stretch from base 181 to 334 matches the Rfam family "5.8S ribosomal RNA". Lineage: Eukaryota; Fungi; Ascomycota; Sordariomycetes; Diaporthales; Diaporthaceae. The record is from RNAcentral.
UGGUAAUGCUGCACGCGCCCAGGCGCACCCAGAACCCUUUGUGAACUUAUACCUUACUGUUGCCUCGGCGCAUGCCGGCCCCCCUGGGGGCCCCUCCUUCUGGAGGAGCAGGCACGCCGGCGGCCAACCUAACUCUUGUUUUUACACUGAAACUCUGAGCACAAAACAUAAAUGAAUCAAAACUUUCAACAACGGAUCUCUUGGUUCUGGCAUCGAUGAAGAACGCAGCGAAAUGCGAUAAGUAAUGUGAAUUGCAGAAUUCAGUGAAUCAUCGAAUCUUUGAACGCACAUUGCGCCCUCUGGUAUUCCGGAGGGCAUGCCUGUUCGAGCGUCAUUUCAACCCUCAAGCCUGGCUUGGUGAUGGGGCACUGCCUGUAAAAGGGCAGGCCUUGAAAUUCAGUGGCGAGCUCGCCAGGACCCCGAGCGCAGUAGUUAAACCCUCGCUUUGGAAGGCCCUGGCGGUGCCCUGCCGUUAAACCCCCAACUUCUGAAAAUUUGACCUCGGAUCAGGUAGGAAUACCCGCUGAACUUAAGCAUAUCAAUAAGCGGAGGAA